GUGCUCACUUUGGCGACACACGUACUAAAAUGAUACAGAGAGGAUUAGCAUGGCCCCUGCACAAGGAUGACAUGCAAAUUCAUGGAGUGUCCCAUAUUUUU
Molecule: small nuclear RNA, 101 nt
Organism: Cercocebus atys (sooty mangabey)
Lineage: Eukaryota; Metazoa; Chordata; Mammalia; Primates; Cercopithecidae
Source: Ensembl